Molecule: ribosomal RNA, 251 nt
Filed under: uncultured prokaryote
Description: partial 16S rRNA
Rfam family: Bacterial small subunit ribosomal RNA
Source: RNAcentral
ACGGAGGAUCCAAGCGUUAUCCGGAAUCAUUGGGUUUAAAGGGUCCGUAGGCGGUCUUAUAAGUCAGUGGUGAAAGCCCAUCGCUCAACGAUGGAACUGCCAUUGAUACUGUAAGACUUGAAUUUUUGUGAAGUAACUAGAAUAUGUAGUGUAGCGGUGAAAUGCUUAGAUAUUACAUGGAAUACCAAUUGCGAAGGCAGGUUACUAACAAACGAUUGACGCUGAUGGUCGAAAGCGUGGGGAGCGAACAG